AACUCAUCAGGCUCAUGACCUGAAGAUUACAGGUUCAAAUCCUGUCCCCGCACCGUA
RNAcentral lists this transfer RNA (57 nucleotides) under Brassica napus (rape). RNAcentral describes it as "partial tRNA". It matches the Rfam family "tRNA", at positions 20 to 71 of the family's 71-position model. From Rfam's summary of the family: Transfer RNA (tRNA) molecules are approximately 80 nucleotides in length. The record is from RNAcentral. Lineage: Eukaryota; Viridiplantae; Streptophyta; Magnoliopsida; Brassicales; Brassicaceae.